AAGUCGUAACAAGGUCUCCGUUGGUGAACCAGCGGAGGGAUCAUUACCG
This 49-nucleotide ribosomal RNA is filed under the name Trichoderma harzianum. RNAcentral's name for it is "partial 18S ribosomal RNA". It matches the Rfam family "Eukaryotic small subunit ribosomal RNA", at positions 1786 to 1831 of the family's 1831-position model. The record is from RNAcentral. Lineage: Eukaryota; Fungi; Ascomycota; Sordariomycetes; Hypocreales; Hypocreaceae. RNAcentral also lists the same sequence under 2 other names.